GGUAAUGUGGCCGAUAAAAGGUGAUAAACUGUAAAUUUAUUUAUAAAACAGAUGUUUUCUUUACCA
RNAcentral lists this transfer RNA (66 nucleotides) under Enneaphyllus aeneipennis. RNAcentral describes it as "tRNA-Tyr". The record is from RNAcentral. Lineage: Eukaryota; Metazoa; Arthropoda; Insecta; Coleoptera; Cerambycidae.